AUUGUUUUGAGUAAGUUAUAUGAAAUGCAUGUAUUAAUUCUUUGUAAUAGUUUAUUACAGUAAGAAGUAAAAUACUUUAAGGCCCCGUUUGGUUGGCGGUAUAAGCAGGGAUAACUUUCGUUAUCCCCGCUAUUCCGCCGAGUGAAAAAAUUUUUGACUGGAAUAUUUUAUUCCGGUCAAAUUUUGCUAUUCUCGGCUAUUUCGAAAUAGCUUGGAUUUAUUAUUCCACUAUUUUGAUGGAAUAGUACUAUUUCAAUAUUUAGUUUCAAACUUUAUUAAAAUUAUAAAUUAAAUAUAAACUAAAUUAUAUAAAUAUAAUAUAUUAUAUAUUAUAAUAUAUAUUUUUUAUUAUAAAUGUAUUAAUUGUACUAUAUUAAUA
Molecule: long non-coding RNA, 379 nt
Filed under: Ananas comosus (pineapple)
Lineage: Eukaryota; Viridiplantae; Streptophyta; Magnoliopsida; Poales; Bromeliaceae
Description: long non-coding RNA (ACOM_LNC005478)
Source: RNAcentral